GCGUGAUCCUGCAAGGGCGCACGGUGGAUGUCUUGGCGUCAAGAGGCGAUGAAGGACGUAGGAACCUGCGAUAAGCCUAGGGGAGCUGGUAACCGAGCGAUUGAUCCUAGGAUUUCCGAAUGGGGUAACCCGGCCCGCAAGGGUCACUCAACGCUGAAUGCAUAGGCGUUGUAGAGCGAACGUGGUGAACUGAAACAUCUCAGUAAUCACAGGAAAGGAAAGCAAAAGCGACUCCGUCAGUAGCGGCGAGCGAACGCGGAAAAAGCGGCAGAACUGCGAACCGGAUGGAAUACCGGGCCAAAGAAGGUGAAAGCCCUGUAACUGGAAGCCGCCCAUGCCCUCGAUUAGGUUCGGGCUCGUGGAACCCGGACUGAACAUGGGGGGUCCACCCUCCAAGGCUGAGCACUCCUUGACGACCGAUAGCGAACCAGUAAGGCGACUGAACGAUGAAAAGCACCCCGGCGAGGGGAAUGAAAGAGCACCUGAAACCGUGCGCUUACAAGCGGUCGGAGUCCCGCAAGGGAUGACGGCGUGCCUUUUGCAUAAUGAGCCGGCGAGUUGGUCUGUACGGCGAGUCUAAGCGUUACCGACGCGGAGACGGAGCGAAAGCGAGUCUUAAAAGGGCGUCAAGUCGUACGGGCUAGACACGAAACCUAAGUGAUCUACCGUUGGCCAGACUGAAGGACGGGUAACUCCGUCUGGAGGGUCGAACGCGUGACCGUUGAAAAGGUCUGCGAUGAGCUGACGGGGGGACUAAAAGUGUUAUCAAACUGGGAGAUAGCUUGUUCUCCCCGAAAUACCUUUAGGGGUAGCCUCAGGGAACAACCCGCGGAGGUAGAGCGACUGGAUCGACAACGGGGCCCACAAGGUCGCCGUGUCGAACCAAACUCCGAAUGCCGCGGGCAUUGCCCUGGGAGAAAGACUUCGAGUGACAAUAUCCGAAGUCAAAAGGAGAAAAAUCCUGAUCGCCAGCUAAGGUCCCAAACUCAUGCUCAGUUCGAAAGGAAGUCAGGGUGCGACGACAUCCAGGAUGUUGGCUUAGAAGCAGCCAUCAUUUAAAGAGUGCGUAACAGCUCACUGGACGAGGAUCCUGGCGCCGAUAAUGAUCGGGAAUAAGCAUGAGGCCGAAGCUGCGGACUCUGAUUUAUCAGAGUGGUAGGGGAGCGUUGCUGGGGCGGUGAAGCAGAUCGGGAACGAUCUGUGGAGCGUCAGCAAGUGAAUAUGCCGGCUUGAGUAACGAUAAAGCAGGUGAAAAUCCUGCUCGCCAUAAGCCCAAGGUUUCCUGGGGAAGGGAAAUCCGCCCAGGGUUAGCCGAGACCUAAGACGAGGCCGACAGGCGUAGUCGAUGGACAACCGGUCAAUAUUCCGGUGCUCCUGCGGAGAUCAAACCGUCGUUCGAACUUCCGGGUGGACAGGGGACUGUCAGAUGUCCAGGCCCUUGUGGCCGAUCUGUCCGAAGGGAGUUUCUAGAAAAGCGGCGGGGGCAAAGCAGGACUCGUACCAAAACCGACACAGGUGGGCGAGGCG
Molecule: ribosomal RNA, 1527 nt
Filed under: Phycisphaerae bacterium
Lineage: Bacteria; Pseudomonadati; Planctomycetota; Phycisphaerae
Description: partial 23S ribosomal RNA
Rfam family: Bacterial large subunit ribosomal RNA
Source: RNAcentral